AACGAACGCUGGCGGCAUGCCUAACACAUGCAAGUCGAACGAGCCCUUCAGGUCUAGUGGUGCACGGGUGUGUAACCCGUGGGGAUCUUACCUCAGGUUCGACCUAACUCAGAGAAAGUUAAACUAUUACCGGAUGGUGACUUAUGCCCAAGGAUUUAUCGCCUGAGGAUGAUCCAGCUUAGGAUUCGGUAGUUCGUGAGGUAAAGGCUCACCAAGCCGACCAUCCUUAGCUGGUUUGAGAGGAUGAUCAGCCACACUGGGACUGAGACACGGCCCAGACUCCUACGGGAGGCAGCAGUGGGGAAUAUUGGACAAUGGGCGAAAGCCUGAUCCAGCAAUGACGCGUGAGUGAUGAAGGCCUUAGGGUUGUAAAGCUCAUUUACCCGGGAUGAUAAUGACAGUACCGGGAGAGUAAGCUCCGGCUAACUCCGUG
RNAcentral lists this ribosomal RNA (433 nucleotides) under uncultured bacterium. Its description in RNAcentral is "partial 16S ribosomal RNA". It matches the Rfam family "Bacterial small subunit ribosomal RNA", at positions 29 to 507 of the family's 1533-position model. The record is from RNAcentral.